GUCCUGAGUUCCAGAGCCUCAAAGAGCACCCAGCAUAACUGUGGGAGAAUAGUAAGCAUUGGACACAAAAUGGUUUAGGCAAAUAAUGAUGAACAAAAAUGGUCAGUCUGUGUUCCUGCUGACCCAGCACAGUGGGGACGCUGUGUAGGACAUGACCUUUGGGGGAAAGGACACAAGAACUCAGCGUGGGGGAUCCAGAAAAGAAGUCGCACGUAUUGAAGCCAGUAACGCCAAGCCAGUGAAUUCUCCUUGACGAGAAAGACCCACUUACUCUGCAGAAGAGAUAUAUGACAGCUGACAAUCCCUGGAGGAGAAUCUUUCUACUAAAUUGGUAAGGGAUGCUAAGCAAAUGAUGUGGACUCAGGAAACAACGCAUUUCAUGAUAUACGGUUGCCUCUCAAGGUGAAUUCGAGACCCCUCUUGAAUUACAAAGAGUUGAAAACAUUCAAGUACGGAAUAAACUAUUACUGCGAAUACGCUCAUAUGACACAAGAACAAUCUCUGAGCUUCUUUGAGGAUGUCCAGAUGACUGCUGACUGCACUAAUUGCAUCAAUCGUGUAUCCAUACAGGUUCUUUCUAUAAAAUAGUGGUCGCUAGUUAUGAGGCGUUAAGCCUUCAUGGAUAUAAACAGACUAUUCCACCUAAGUGAUCUGGCAGAAGCUUAGUUUUCUACCACAACAUCCACCGUCCUCCCUCCCUCCCUUCCUAGCUGGUCAGAAAAGCUACUCAGAAUAAAGACUACAUUUCCCAGCCAUCUUUGCAGCUAGGUUUAUCCACCUGACUAAAUUCCACCGGCCUGCCACAAGAAUACGAAGGCCAGAGCUCCAGCAGCUGUUGGAGCCACGAUGUGACCCUGAAGGCAGGAAACUCAGCUUUGGAAGUAACUCCAGGUUGAAGAACUUCUACUUAUAGGCAUCUAUUCAACGAAGACGAAUCCUGGAAUGGGGAUGGAAAUGAUGGCUCAUGUCUUAGCAAACUACCAGUACGUCUACUAGAACCGGAACUGAUCCGAGAGGACAGGGAAGUCAGUGUGGGCGGCUCUAAGGAGCCUCCCUCUCUACAGCUGCGGCUCAGAGGAUUACGGCGCUUCAUCCACAAGGCAACAUUGCACAAGUAGCUUUUGAACAAAAGUCAUGGAUACUAUUAAUGAUAUGGUAAUCCUUAAUCGAGCUACCUCCCAGUAGUGAUUAUACUGACAUGGGAAGAAUAUCUAAGUCGUGGAGGCAGCCCACAACAACACUGUGUCAUUGUUCACCCCGGGCUCGACCAGGACUAACUUUUACCAGCAUCUCUAACGUCACCUUUCCCCUGAUGCCUCCCCACAACCCCUGGCCCCAGCUCCCAUUCCCGCCCCAUCAUAGCAAAAAAGUAGCAAAGAAAACCCUGAUCCUAAA
Long non-coding RNA from Homo sapiens (human), 1395 nucleotides. Ensembl annotates it as long intergenic non-protein coding RNA 2436. NCBI's taxonomy places the organism in Eukaryota, Metazoa, Chordata, Mammalia, Primates, Hominidae. The record is from Ensembl.